UACGUAGGGUGCGAGCGUUAAUCGGAAUUACUGGGCGUAAAGCGUGCGCAGGCGGUUUUGUAAGACAGGUGUGAAAUCCCCCGGCUUAACCUGGGAACUGCGUCUGAUACUGGACGGCUUGAGUAUGGGAGAGGGAUGUAGAAUUCCAGGUGUAGCGGUGAAAUGCGUAGAUAUCUGGAGGAAUACCGGUGGCGAAGGCGGCAUCCUGGACCAUUACUGACGCUGAGGCGCGAAAGCUAGGGGAGCAAACGGG
RNAcentral lists this ribosomal RNA (253 nucleotides) under uncultured prokaryote. RNAcentral describes it as "partial 16S ribosomal RNA". It matches the Rfam family "Bacterial small subunit ribosomal RNA", at positions 524 to 776 of the family's 1533-position model. The record is from RNAcentral.